This 499-nucleotide ribosomal RNA is filed under the name uncultured bacterium. RNAcentral's name for it is "partial 16S ribosomal RNA". It matches the Rfam family "Bacterial small subunit ribosomal RNA", at positions 28 to 507 of the family's 1533-position model. The record is from RNAcentral.
GAUGAACGCUGGCGGCGUGCCUAAUACAUGCAAGUCGAGCGAACAGACGAGAGUGCUUGCACUCUCUGACGUUAGCGGCGGGCGGGUGAGUCACACGUGGGUAACCUACCUAUAAGACUGGGAUAACUUCGGGAAACCGGAGCUAAUACCGGAUAAUAUUUAGCUUCGCAUGAAGCAAUAGUGAAAGACGGUUCUGCUGUCACUUAGAGAUGGACCCGCGGUGUAUUAGCUAGUUGGUGAGGUAACGGCUCACCAAGGCAACGAUACAUAGCCGACCUGAGAGGGUGAUCGGCCACACUGGAACUGAGACACGGCCCAGACUCCUACGGGAGGCAGCAGUAGGGAAUCUUCCGCAAUGGACGAAAGUCUGACGGAGCAAUGCCGCGUGAGUGAAGAAGGUGUUCGGAUCGUAAAACUCUGUUGUAAGGGAAGAACAAGUACGUUAGUAACUGAACGUACCUUGACGGUACCUGACCAGAAAGCCACGGCUAACUACGUG